This 1409-nucleotide ribosomal RNA is filed under the name Enterobacter sp. enrichment culture clone HSL94. RNAcentral describes it as "16S ribosomal RNA". It matches the Rfam family "Bacterial small subunit ribosomal RNA". Lineage: Bacteria; Pseudomonadati; Pseudomonadota; Gammaproteobacteria; Enterobacterales; Enterobacteriaceae. The record is from RNAcentral.
AGUCGGGCGGUAACCGGGGAGCUUGCUCCCGGGUGACGAGCGGCGGACGGGUGAGUAAUGUCUGGGAAACUGCCUGAUGGAGGGGGAUAACUACUGGAAACGGUAGCUAAUACCGCAUAACGUCGCAAGACCAAAGAGGGGGACCUUCGGGCCUCUUGCCAUCAGAUGUGCCCAGAUGGGAUUAGCUAGUAGGUGGGGUAACGGCUCACCUAGGCGACGAUCCCUAGCUGGUCUGAGAGGAUGACCAGCCACACUGGAACUGAGACACGGUCCAGACUCCUACGGGAGGCAGCAGUGGGGAAUAUUGCACAAUGGGCGCAAGCCUGAUGCAGCCAUGCCGCGUGUAUGAAGAAGGCCUUCGGGUUGUAAAGUACUUUCAGCGGGGAGGAAGGUGUUGUGGUUAAUAACCACAGCAAUUGACGUUACCCGCAGAAGAAGCACCGGCUAACUCCGUGCCAGCAGCCGCGGUAAUACGGAGGGUGCAAGCGUUAAUCGGAAUUACUGGGCGUAAAGCGCACGCAGGCGGUCUGUCAAGUCGGAUGUGAAAUCCCCGGGCUCAACCUGGGAACUGCAUUCGAAACUGGCAGGCUAGAGUCUUGUAGAGGGGGGUAGAAUUCCAGGUGUAGCGGUGAAAUGCGUAGAGAUCUGGAGGAAUACCGGUGGCGAAAGCGGCCCCCCUGGACAAAGACUGACGCUCAAGUGCGAAAGCGUGGGGAAGCAACAGGAUUAGAUACCCCUGGUAGCCACGCCCGAAACGAUGUCGACUUGGAAGUUGUGCCCCUGAAGGCUGGCUUCCCGGAACUAACCCGUUAAGUCGACCGCCUGGGGAGUACGGCCGCAAGGUUAAAACUCAAAUGAAUUGACGGGGGCCCGCACAAGCGGUGGAGCAUGUGGUUUAAUUCGAUGCAACGCGAAGAACCUUACCUACUCUUGACAUCCAGAGAACUUUCCAGAGAUGGAUUGGUGCCUUCGGGAACUCUGAGACAGGUGCUGCAUGGCUGUCGUCAGCUCGUGUUGUGAAAUGUUGGGUUAAGUCCCGCAACGAGCGCAACCCUUAUCCUUUGUUGCCAGCGGUUAGGCCGGGAACUCAAAGGAGACUGCCAGUGAUAAACUGGAGGAAGGUGGGGAUGACGUCAAGUCAUCAUGGCCCUUACGAGUAGGGCUACACACGUGCUACAAUGGCGCAUACAAAGAGAAGCGACCUCGCGAGAGCAAGCGGACCUCAUAAAGUGCGUCGUAGUCCGGAUUGGAGUCUGCAACUCGACUCCAUGAAGUCGGAAUCGCUAGUAAUCGUAGAUCAGAAUGCUACGGUGAAUACGUUCCCGGGCCUUGUACACACCGCCCGUCACACCAUGGGAGUGGGUUGCAAAAGAAGUAGGUAGCUUAACCUUCGGGAGGGCCCUUACCAC